AAGGAUGUGGAAUUGCACAGACAACCAGGAUGUUGGCUUAGAAGCAGCCACUCAUUAAAAGAGUGCGUAAUAGCUCACUGGUCGAGUGACUCUGCGCCGAAAAUUUAACGGGGCUAAACUAUACACCGAAGCUUGGGAUACAUCUAAUGUAUGGUAGGAGAGCGUUCUGUAUGGGGAGAAGUCGUAGCGAAAGCGGCGGUGGACUAUACAGAAGUGAGAAUGCCGGAAUAAGUAGCGAGAAUUAAGUGAGAAUCUUAAUGGCCGAAAGUCUAAGGUUUUUGGAGGAAGGUUCGUCCGCUCCAAGUAAGUCGGGAGCUAAGGUCAGGCCGAAAGGCGUAGCCGAUGCACAUACGGUUGAUAUUCCGUAACCAUCUGUAAUUUAAGCAAAGGGACACUUCAAAAGGGUGUGACCCGGGCGUUGGUUGACCCGGGCGUAAGGGACCGAAAUUAGAGUAGGGAAGCACACUUAGCUGAAGGCGAGAAAAGCUUUGCGUAUAGAAACAGAUGCCCGUACCGCAAACCGACACAGGUGGACAGGAAGAGAAUUCUAAGGCCAGCGGGAGAAGGGUAGUUAAGGAACUCGGCAAAUUGACUCCGUAACUUCGGAAUAAGGAGUGCUCGAAAGAGCCGCAGAGAAUAGGCCCAGGCGACUGUUUAGCAAAAACACAGGUCUCUGCCAAAUCGAAAGAUGAAGUAUAGGGGCUGACACCUGCCCGGUGCCGGAAGGUUAAGAGGAGGAGUGAGAGCUCCGAAUUGAAGCCCCGGUAAACGGCGGCCGUAACUAUAACGGUCCUAAGGUAGCGAAAUUCCUUGUCGGGUAAGUUCCGACCCGCACGAAUGGUGUAACGAUCUGGGCACUGUCUCAACUACCCACCCGGCGAAAUUGUAGUACCGGUGAAGAUGCCGGUUACCUGCGGCAAGACGGAAAGACCCCAUGGAGCUUUACUGUAGCCUGAUAUUGGGUUUCGGAAAUCUAUGUACAGGAUAGGCGGGAGACUGGGAAACAUGAGCGUCAGCUUGUGUGGAGUCGAUGUUGGGAUACCGCCCUUAGGUUUCUGGAAUUCUAACCUGCGGCCGUGAAUCCGGUCGGGGGACAUUGUCAGGUGGGCAGUUUGACUGGGGCGGUCGCCUCCGAAAAGGUAACGGAGGCGCUCAAAGGUUAGCUCAGCACGGACGGAAACCGUGCCUCUGAGUGUAAACGCAAAAGCUAGCCUAACUGCGAGGGUGACGGCCCGAGCAGUAACGAAAGUUGGAGUUAGUGAUCCGGCGGUAUGUGAAUGGAAAUGCCGUCGCUCAACGGAUAAAAGCUACCCUGGGGAUAACAGGCUGAUCUCCCCCAAGAGUCCACAUCGACGGGGAGGUUUGGC
RNAcentral lists this ribosomal RNA (1367 nucleotides) under marine sediment metagenome. RNAcentral describes it as "bacterial LSU rRNA". It matches the Rfam family "Bacterial large subunit ribosomal RNA", at positions 1069 to 2522 of the family's 2925-position model. The record is from RNAcentral.